Molecule: non-coding RNA, 29 nt
Filed under: Mus musculus (house mouse)
Lineage: Eukaryota; Metazoa; Chordata; Mammalia; Rodentia; Muridae
Source: RNAcentral
UGACAGGAUCUGUGGUGGCGUGGUACAGU